GCAACCGCUGAUUCUGCUUAGUUCAAGCAUAAUCUGAUUAGACUUAAAAGUUUGCUGCUUAAUUGCAGGUAUGUUAUGGACCUAAGCAUGUUGAGGUCGCAUCUUGCAAUGCAAACUCUUCUGAUGACGACAGAUAGUUUGUUUCGGUAAGUCGUGUUUAUUGACUUUAUUAUACUGUUAUUUCUUGUGCAUAUGUUGGUGGGGUUGGUUUUGUAUUAGAACAAGCGGAAAAUUGUGCAAUGCGGCCGUUGCGAUAGGUUAGUUAAGCUCGCUUGCCUAACCUGCCAUGGAUGAUUGGUGUGGCUCCCAGGAAACAUAAUAAGAUUAAUAAUAUAUUGGACUUAAGUAGCACAGUGAAGCUUUAUUAUCGAUUUAAAUUCUUUAACACAUAAAUUCCAUGUUAUAAGUUUAUUAUUACUGUUGGUAAGAACAGGGGCGGAGCCAGUGUAUUGGCAUUGGGUUCAGAUGAACCCAAUGAAUUUGUCUGGCCACGUAUAGUAUAUAGAUACGCAUAUGCUUUGAACCCAAUAAAAAAUAAGGGCUGACCCCAUCAACUUAAAUUCCAACGCUGAAUGCAAAGCCCAAAAGCCCGCAAGUGAAUUGGCACCGUGACAAGACUGUUCGUGACCCUUAUUCCUACUAGUAAGCGUGCACGUGCAACGCACGUAUUCUAAUAAAUUACAAUAAAAACAUUAACUAUGUCUUGUGUUUUUACCCGAACAUUUAAAUGCGUGUCGCGCCCAAUGAUUUCAAUAUAGUAAUUUAUUUUAGAUCAAGUCAUAGGUCUUGUUUGACCGGUGAAAGACUUCCAUUGUUGAAAUGUUGUGAUCCUAAAAUUCCAAAACCAAAAUACGUAAAAACUCACAAAUGUAAUACACGACCAAUACACAUGUCUUCACAUAAAAUUAACGAUCACAUAAAUAUAUUGUAAUUGUUAAUUAUUACAAAAUAUGUAAAAAUAACAACUAAGCAACAUUAUCAAGCAAAGUUCAUCUAUUAAGCCGUUGUUUGUUGGAGUGACAAACGGCGAAAGGAUAAAUGCUUGCGACAUGAGCUCAACUUCUGACGAGGAGUUGGAUGCUUUGGGUUUGUUAGGAGGUCUUUCGACAAUCAUACAAUCGGGGGAUCCGUGUUGGUUUCAUCAUCAUCCAAGUCUUGGUUUCUUAUAUCGUCAUCAUUGAAUUCCGAGUUGACUAAAAUCACAACUAAUUUUGUUCUAAAAUCUGUCAUAUGAACCUAAAGUGAAGUAGUAAUAAUAAGACUUAGUUUUCAAAUAAUGAUACAACACAAAAUAAUCAGUAUCAUGAUACCAUGCAAAAUAUACCUGUUCGGGAGUGUCGGACAAACUAUCUCCUGUGAAGUACUCCAUGUAAUUUAACAUGCAGAGACCACAAGAUGACCUAGAUGAUAAAGAAAUUUUGAUAUGCUUAAUAACAAGAAUAUUAGAAAAAUAUUAAUAUUAUAACAUGAUGAUGACUGAACCACAGAGUCAUACCGGAGACGCUCGAUAAAAAAAGAAUUGAAUAACGUUUGCCGCUAAUAUAAAUCAAAUGACCUAAAGGGCUACCAGUCCCUUUCUCACAACAGGAUGUAUCCCCAUUUUUUUUCCUUGUGCAAAAUGGAUGUAUCCCGAUCUGAAACACCUAGCACUUGAUUUAUCCAGUGGUGUGUGUGCGGUGAGAGACACAGGCACCCACCACUUUGCUUUCUCCGCCAGCCGCCUGCUCUGCUGCACACCGCCGCCUCUCCCGCCACGAUGUCGCCCCCCUCCCCCCCCCCCAACCCACACCACCACCACGGCCUCGCCCCUUCUCGUCCUAUCCCUCCUUAUCCCCACGACGGCCUCGCCCCGCCGGCCCUUAUCCCCACGACGGCCUAACUCCGCCAGCUCCUGUCACCACCGCGGCCUUGCCUCACAGCCAACCCCGCCAAUCUUCCCUACAUCGACUCUGCUGCCGCCAUCCUACUGCCCCAGAGCAGAUCGAGAUGUGAGCUGCUGGACACGAUGCGGGAGGAGGCAUCUCGAAUUGGACGGAGAUCCAGUGCAUUGACGUGCCCGUUGUAAUCAUCGCCCCCCGUGUUUGGCUCACACAGUUGCUCCGGGAAGGAGUUCGCAGCUCGCGUGCAUGCUCGGUUGCUGAAGGUAUGCGUUCGUUUAGAUGUUGUUAAUGCACCUAUGGUUAUCAGUGUGGAUUUAGUUUGGUGACAUUUUUGAGGCAACCAUGCUGUGGCAAAGCUGAUUGAUUUGUGGAUUUGAAUUCUGGGUGGCUUAAUUUGUCACUAUCAGCUAUCUAUGAUUGAUGUUGAGUUGUUGCUUUUUGUGGCUGUUGCUUGAUUAGUGUGGUAUUCUCACGUUGUAAUGUCGCAUUAUUACUGGCACUAAGUAACAGAGAGUUCCAGGGUCACAACUAAGUUGGUAUCUACACUAUUUGUAUCAGAAAUACAUGUGACACCAUCAUUUGACAUCUAAACAUUGCUGAUGCUUAUGCCAUUGUAUGCACAACAGGCGCCUUCGCCACAUUGUCAUUCAUUUGUGAGAUGUUUCUCUUUCUCUAUGUUGGCAUGGAUGAUAUAUAGAGUAGUGGAAGAUUGUUAGUGAAACACAUUCAGGUAUGCUAUCUAUCUGAUUCUUUCCAUGUGUGUAGUAACAUAUUCGUUGUUCAAAUCCAGAAAUUGUAACACAUUUUCUAUACUACUAUAUGUAGCCCAAUGAAAUGUAUCGCCUUGAGCUCCAUUAUUUAGGCCAGAUCACAUGAGAGAUUUUGUGUCAAUUGCAUUGACAUCCAAUAAGGUAAAAGCUCUGAUUUAUAUUAGGAGGCGUACCCAUCUGUCUGAAGACUGCUCUUAAUAUAUUCUUCUCUUUCUCAUGUUGUAACAUUUAGAUCAGUCCACUUAUCGGAUUUUAAUUCCAUGUGCUCGGAUGCAUAUUUGAAUAAAUCAUCCAGUCCUUCUAGCUGUUGUACCAACAAAUG
RNAcentral lists this long non-coding RNA (2972 nucleotides) under Triticum aestivum (bread wheat). Its description in RNAcentral is "long non-coding RNA (TAES_LNC017485)". Lineage: Eukaryota; Viridiplantae; Streptophyta; Magnoliopsida; Poales; Poaceae. The record is from RNAcentral.